CGGGGAGGGUAGGCGCCCGCCCAGCACCAACUUGACGAUGUUUCGCCGGGGCAGGGCAGCGGCACAAAGCCGAAAUUGCAACCGGCUACGCUUUAGGCCAAGCAUGGUCAAGUUGGUGCUGGGAGGAAAGUCCGAACUCCAGGUGGGAGCACGCUGGGUAACGCCCAGCCGCGGUAACGCGAGGGAAAGUGCCACAGAAAACAUACCGCCCCGCACCACUUCCCCAAAAGGGGCCACCACGCCAGGGAAGGCCUCCUGGGCCAAAACCUGCGAGGCCGCCGUCCCUUGGGGAAGUGGUGCGGGGUAAGGGUGAAAAGGUGGGGUAAGAGCCCACCGCUCGGCCGGUGACGGCCGGGGCAUGGCAAACCCCGUGCGGAGCAAGGCCAAAUAGGGGGACCAACGGGCCCCACCCCCGGUGGCGCCAAAAGCGCCGGGUCCCCGGGUAGGCCGCUUGAGCUGGCAGGUAACUGCCAGCCCAGAGGAAUGGGUGCCCUCGACAGAAUUCGGCUUACAGCCCUCCCCGACGC
Non-coding RNA from Thermoanaerobaculum aquaticum, 527 nucleotides. The record is from Rfam. Lineage: Bacteria; Pseudomonadati; Acidobacteriota; Thermoanaerobaculia; Thermoanaerobaculales; Thermoanaerobaculaceae.